AGUGAACGCUGGCGGUAGGCCUAACACAUACAAGUCGAACGGCAGCACAGUAAGAGCUUGCUCUUACGGGUGGCGAGUGGCGGACGGGUGAGGAAUACAUCGGAAUCUACUUUUUCGUGGGGGAUAACGUAGGGAAACUUACGCUAAUACCGCAUACGACCUACGGGUGAAAGCAGGGGAUCUUCGGACCUUGCGCGAUUGAAUGAGCCGAUGUCGGAUUAGCUAGUUGGCGGGGUAAAGGCCCACCAAGGCGACGAUCCGUAGCUGGUCUGAGAGGAUGAUCAGCCACACUGGAACUGAGACACGGUCCAGACUCCUACGGGAGGCAGCAGUGGGGAAUAUUGGACAAUGGGCGCAAGCCUGAUCCAGCCAUACCGCGUGGGUGAAGAAGGCCUUCGGGUUGUAAAGCCCUUUUGUUGGGAAAGAAAAGCAGCAGGUUAAUACCCCGCUGUUCUGACGGUACCCAAAGAAUAAGCACCGGCUAACUUCGCG
This 492-nucleotide ribosomal RNA is filed under the name uncultured bacterium. RNAcentral's name for it is "partial 16S ribosomal RNA". It matches the Rfam family "Bacterial small subunit ribosomal RNA", at positions 29 to 507 of the family's 1533-position model. The record is from RNAcentral.